Molecule: ribosomal RNA, 506 nt
Filed under: uncultured bacterium
Lineage: Bacteria
Description: partial 16S ribosomal RNA
Rfam family: Bacterial small subunit ribosomal RNA
Source: RNAcentral
GAUGAACGCUAGCUACAGGCUUAACACAUGCAAGUCGAGGGGUAUCGAGAGGAAAGCUUGCUUUCCUUGUCGACGACCGGCGCACGGGUGAGUAACGCGUAUCCAACCUGCCCCCAACUAGGGAAUAACCUUGCGAAAGUAAGACUAAUACCCUAUAAUUUCCUCAGAUGUCAUCUGACGAGGAAUAAAGAUUUACCGGUUGUGGAUGGGGAUGCGUCUGCUUAGCUUGUUGGCGAGGUAACGGCCCACCAAGGCAACGAUCAGUAGGGGUUCUGAGAGGAAGGUCCCCCACAUUGGAACUGAGACGCGGUCCAAACUCCUACUGGAGGCAGCAGUGAGGAAUAUUGGUCAAUGUGCGGAAGCCUUAACCAGCCAAGUAGCGUGCAGGAUGACGGCCCUAUGGGUUGUAAACUGCUUUUAUACAGGAAUAAAGUUAGCCACGUGUGGUUAUUUGUAGGUACUGUAUGAAUAAGGACCGGCUAAUUCCGUGCCAGCAGCCGCAGUAA